GUUGAUCAUGGCUCAGGUACGCCGGCGGCGKGCCUAACMMCAUGCAAGUCGAACGGUYUAAGCSSGAGCUUAGGAUAGUGGCGAACGGGKGAGUAAAAGGUAGGAAUCUACCCCUUGGACGGAGAUAGCUACUGGAAACGGUAGGUAAACUUCGAUAAGCCCGAGAGGGGAAAGUGGUGAGACAGCCGAGGGAUGAGCCUACUCUCCAUCAGGUAGUUGGUGAGAUAAAAGCUUACCAAGCCGAUGACGGAUAACCGGUGUGAGAGCAUGAACGGUCACAAGGGCACUGAGAGACGGGCCCUACUCCUACGGGAGGCAGCAGUGGGGAAUCUUGGACAAUGGGCGAAAGCCUGAUCCAGCGACGCCGCGUGGAGGAAGAAGUCCUUCGGGAUGUAAACUUCUGAACUAGCCGAAUAAAAGRCMWGWRGACACACAGGAGAAGAAAGUAGGCUAGGAAAAGUCCCGGCUAACUACGUGCCAGCAGCCGCGGUAAGACGUAGGGGGCAAGCGUUACCCGGAAUUACUGGGCGUAAAGGGGGCGUAGGCGGUAAAAGAAGUCAUCUGUGAAAACCUAUUGCUCAACGAUAGGCUAGCGGAUGAAACUGAAUUACUUGAGGGCACCAGAGGUAGACGGAAUUACCCGAGUAGGGGUGAAAUCCGCAGAUACGGGUAGGAACGCCGGUGGAGAAGUCGGUCUACUGGGGUGCACCAGACGCUGAGGCCCGAAAGCUAGGGGAGCAAACCGGAUUAGAUACCCGGGUAGUCCUAGCCGUAAACGCCUCUCACUAGGUGUAGGGAGUGAUAAACUCUCUGUGMUGAAGCGAACGCGCUWAAKKAGCCGCC
RNAcentral lists this ribosomal RNA (843 nucleotides) under uncultured Defluviitoga sp. RNAcentral's name for it is "bacterial SSU rRNA". It matches the Rfam family "Bacterial small subunit ribosomal RNA", at positions 11 to 873 of the family's 1533-position model. The record is from RNAcentral. Lineage: Bacteria; Thermotogati; Thermotogota; Thermotogae; Petrotogales; Petrotogaceae.